AUACGGGGGGUGCAAGCGUUAUUCGGAUUUAUUGGGCGUAAAGAGCGCGUAGGCGGCUUGGUAAGUCAGAUGUGAAAGCCCGGGGCUCAACCCCGGAAGUGCAUUUGAAACUAUCAGGCUUGAGUAUGGGAGAGGGAAGUGGAAUUCCUGGUGUAGAGGUGAAAUUCGUAGAUAUCAGGAGGAACACCGGUGGCGAAGGCGACUUCCUGGACCAAUACUGACGCUGAGGCGCGAAGGCGUGGGGAGCGAACAGGAUUAGAAACCCCAGUAGUCC
Molecule: ribosomal RNA, 274 nt
Filed under: uncultured bacterium
Lineage: Bacteria
Description: partial 16S ribosomal RNA
Rfam family: Bacterial small subunit ribosomal RNA
Source: RNAcentral